ACAGCAGUCGCCACGGUAACACGGAGGGCGCAAGCGUUAAUCGGAAUUACUGGGCGUAAAGCGCACGCAGGCGGUUUGUUAAGUCUGCUGUGAAAUCCCCGGGCUCAACCUGGGAAUGGCAGUGGAUACUGGCAAGCUAGAGUGUGUCAGAGGAUGGUGGAAUUCCCGGUGUAGCGGUGAAAUGCGUAGAGAUCGGGAGGAACAUCAGUGGCGAAGGCGGCCAUCUGGGACAACACUGACGCUGAGGCACGAAAGCGUGGGGAGCAAACAGGAUUAGAUACCCCUGUAGUCCCUGUCUCUUAUAC
RNAcentral lists this ribosomal RNA (305 nucleotides) under uncultured bacterium. Its description in RNAcentral is "partial 16S ribosomal RNA". It matches the Rfam family "Bacterial small subunit ribosomal RNA", at positions 505 to 807 of the family's 1533-position model. The record is from RNAcentral.